This 1291-nucleotide long non-coding RNA is filed under the name Sarcophilus harrisii (Tasmanian devil). RNAcentral's name for it is "lncRNA (ENSSHAG00000031292.1)". The record is from RNAcentral. Lineage: Eukaryota; Metazoa; Chordata; Mammalia; Dasyuromorphia; Dasyuridae.
CGAGAGCCAAUACAGCUGGUCUGUCAGUGACAUGUCAGACUGGCAUUUGUGAACAGGGACAUCAAAGACUUCCCAGACCUUGCACUCAGGCUGCCAGUUCUCCAGAGACCACCCCUGGCCCGGGACAAUUUGACAGAUACACAGCACAGCAAGAAGGUGUGAUGAUGCUUGCUUGGUGGAGAAAAACAUGGCAAACCAUUCCACUAUCUACUCCAGCAUCUUUGCCAAGAAGACCCCAAAGGGAAUGAUGAAAAGUCAGACAAGAAUCAAAACAACUGAAAGCUGAAGUAAGUUUUGUCCAUUUUACUAAAUAAACAAUAAUUGAUAAUUUGUUGCCGACUGUGGUCAGAUGAAUAAGAGAUGUCAAGAAAUAAAUGUAUAAACAUAAGCUCUGGAAUACCUUCCAGUUGGAGAUAAUAAGAUUAAAGAUGGGAAGAAGUCAAAUAGCAGACUGAAGAGUGAUCUAAAAAUGAUGUUGGCAGACUCCAAAGUCCAGAAGAGCUAGAUUUCAAUUCUGAAUAGCUAUUAGAUAUGGAAAUUUGCUGUAUAUAUUUCAUAUGGUUUUGAAAGAAAGAAGUAAGUAUGCUUUAAAGACUAUCAAAAAGCGACACAUUGCUAUUAAUAUACACUUCAUCAAUGUUUGUUUGGAGGGUAUUACAGUUACAGGAAGUAAAGUGUAAUGGAAAGAUCAUUAGGAGGAACAGUGUAAGCAGAAGCAGAAGAACAAUUUAUACAAUAUACCACAGUAACUGAAACUGAAACUUUCUGAUCAGUGAAGUGAGAGGACUGUCAGUGAAACAUAAUUUCCUCUUCUUUAGGGGUGGUGGACUAUAGGUGCAGAGCAAGGCAUAUGUUGUCAAAUAUGGUCAGUUUGUUGGCUUAUCUUGCUUCAUUGUAAUUCUGUAUCACAGAAGAGAUCUCUACUGACUAAGUGCAGAUGUGGUAGUGGUGGGGGUGUGCAUUGAGAAGUGAAUGGAUUCUAAAAGGCACAAUCAGACAUCUAUUUACAUUUUUUAAGGGGAAAAAUUAGGGGAUGUAAAUUAGAAGGCUUGGGUUCAAGUCUGUCCCUCUCACACACUCACUGCGUCACUUCACUAGCCAGCUGGUAAAGCCAUUUCCUCUCUCUGGGCAUCAAUUUCCUAAUCUAUAUAAUGUAAUGGUUGGGAAAUGACCUCCAAUGUUUCUUCCAACUCUGCAAGGCUAUGACUCCAUGAAUUAAAUUUAAAUUAAUUGAAUUGCCUUUUAUUUAAGUCACAGCCUUUUAGAACUAGAAGAAAGCUUAGAACUCAGC